Erinaceus europaeus (western European hedgehog) is the source of this 314-nucleotide unclassified non-coding RNA. Its record names the gene 7SK. It matches the Rfam family "7SK RNA". Rfam says of the family: 7SK was discovered as an abundant small nuclear RNA in the mid-70s but a possible function has only recently been suggested. Two independent studies have found that 7SK RNA binds the CDK9/cyclin T complex (known as elongation factor P-TEFb). NCBI's taxonomy places the organism in Eukaryota, Metazoa, Chordata, Mammalia, Eulipotyphla, Erinaceidae. The record is from Ensembl.
GGAUGUGAGGGCGAUCUGGCUGCGACAUCUGUCACCCCAUUGAUCGCCAGGGUUGAUUCGGCUGAUCUGGCUGGCUAGGCGGGUGUCCCCUUCCUCCCUCACCGCUCCAUGUGCGUCCCUCCCGAAGCUGCGCUCGUUCGAAGUGGACGGCCUUCCCCGAAUAGAGACGGAACGGUCUUCCGGUCGAGGGUAUUCGAAUAGCUGCGCUCCCCUGCUAGAACCUCCAAACAAGCUCUCAAGAGUAGAGAAUGUUCCAUCCUCCAAAGGGAGGCUGAACAACAUACUCUAUCUUCCACCUAAGAAAGAUGGGUUUG